Podarcis lilfordi (Lilford's wall lizard) is the source of this 78-nucleotide non-coding RNA. The record is from the annotation of a GenBank genome assembly. Lineage: Eukaryota; Metazoa; Chordata; Lepidosauria; Squamata; Lacertidae.
GCCUGGAUAGCUCAGUUGGUUAGAGCAUGGUGCUGAUAAUGCCAAGGUUGCAGGUUGGAUCCCCAUGUUGUUGUGGUU